UGGGUUGUGGCUCAGUGGUAGAGCGCUCACCUAGCAUGUGCAAGGCCCUGGAUUCGAUCCUCAGCACCACAU
Molecule: transfer RNA, 72 nt
Filed under: Marmota monax (woodchuck)
Lineage: Eukaryota; Metazoa; Chordata; Mammalia; Rodentia; Sciuridae
Rfam family: tRNA
About the family: Transfer RNA (tRNA) molecules are approximately 80 nucleotides in length. Their secondary structure includes four short double-helical elements and three loops (D, anti-codon, and T loops). Further hydrogen bonds mediate the characteristic L-shaped molecular structure. tRNAs have two regions of fundamental functional importance: the anti-codon, which is responsible for specific mRNA codon recognition, and the 3' end, to which the tRNAs corresponding amino acid is attached (by aminoacyl-tRNA synthetases). tRNAs cope with the degeneracy of the genetic code in two manners: having more than one tRNA (with a specific anti-codon) for a particular amino acid; and 'wobble' base-pairing, i.e. permitting non-standard base-pairing at the 3rd anti-codon position.
Source: Rfam by way of RNAcentral